UCGCGCCCACGGCAUCCAAGCCCGGCUAUUGCGGGCGGCGUUGUCCCCUCCGAAUCCCCCCUCUCCCUUAGAUAUAAAGGUUCGUCCUCCUGAGCACUGUCUCGAUUCGUUGAGGGUUCGUUGGAUUCGGAGGAUGGCCAGCGCGCCACCACGCCGGUCCGCUCGCCGGGUGGAGGCUCCGAGGUCGAGAGAGGCACCGGGUUGUUGGAGAAAAGAUUACACCGUUUGACAAUAAAGUGCAGCUGAAAAGAAGCUUUCAAUAUUAGUUGAUGUUCAAGGCUGGGAAUACCAUGUACUGGGAGGUGCUGCAAAUUUGCUUUCAAGGAGGGAAGGUGAAGCUCCCUAUCCCUACCUUAUAUAUGAAGAAGUUGAACACCUACUGCAGGCUAGCAACAGCAGUGCACAAGAGAAAAGACAUAUUAUUGUGUUACUAUGUGAACUAUAAUAUUAUCAUGCAUGUUUAGCUAGAAUAAUAGUGUUGUCCAUGCUUCAAUUAUUUUUGAUAUGUGAACUGUAAUUCUGAAUUGCUGCAUUCCCUACUGGUCUAGAGUAGUGGUCAUUUCUGAUAUGGUGUGUUCUGGUGUUUAUAUGCAAGCACUUGUUAUUCUGAUAUGGUGUGUAUAUUUCUUAUUUUGUUUUUUCUCUCUAAUCUGAGAAAAUGGUGGUCAUCAUAUACGUUUAAUAUAAUAUAGUAUAGGUCAGUUCUGCUGUUUCUGUCUACUUAUCUAUAUAUAUUUUUUGACUUAUCGUGCUUUAGGCUCUCCUCUUGUUUGGUUUACUCUUGUUUGAUUUACUGAAGCAUUUAGAGCUGCAUUUUCUAGAACAACAUUUUGUGUUCCGAUCAGUGAGGUCAGUCAUCCUCUAUUGUUAUAUAUUAUUAUUGCAUGUGGUUUAUUAAUCCGUCAUAAUUAAAUAUAUUUGACUAGACUAUUCUGCUAAUAAAGAUUUAACAUGCCUUGUUAUGUCAUGAAUUAAUAUCACAUCACAAUUUGACAUAUGCUUCGAUUAGUGGAUGUUUAGGGUUUAUGAUUAAAUGGUUGAUAAUUAAGCACAUGAAUUAUAUUGAAUUAGAAUUAAAAUUUAUAUAUGCAAAAGAUUGAGGAAUAUAAUAAUGUGAAACUGAUGUGUGGUGGGGUAUUGGUUGGGAUAUAAAGUUUAUACGCAUGCGGCUGGUAUAUAGAGGUUGAUGCUUUUUUAGAUAAAAUGGUAGAUGGAAGGCUGCUUUUCUGUAUGCAGCACCUGCAUCCGUCCAGAAUUCUCUCUCAACCACUUCUCUUUAUUCUUCUAUUCCGGAUCUACCAAUAAUGAGAAAGCUUUUUAUUGAACCUCAUAAGCUUUUUAUUGAACCUCAUUUAUUAAACAAGGACAAAUCACAACUCUCAUUUUCAAGUCACAACCAACACAAUUUCAUAGAAACAAAUUUUGAAACUCCACGAAAUUUCAUACAAACAAAUUCAGUUUUUGACAAGUCAAGGUAAAUGGUGAUUUUUAGAUCAUCAUGAUAUAACUUCCUUUUCUUCACAUGAAAUAAGUACUGAACUGAACAUGAACGCCUUUUUUACUAAACUGAACUGAAAAUGCAAGUUUAUCUAACAAAUUUUCCAUAAAAAAGUUUUGAUGGAAUUGGCUGUAUUGAACCGUGAAAGAAAUGCUGCAGACCACUGAAAAAGGAUGGCUAUGUAAGUUAUAUAUGAAUAGUUACAAGGAAUGAAGCUUAUCUGACAAUUAUUUAUUUGCAUGUUUAAUAUAGUUUUAGGUUGUUCGAUGACUAUCGCGAUGAAGAUUAUUAUGUGCUACUGUGGAAGUUCAGUAUUGUCGCUCGAGUAGAAGUUAAAUUCCCGAUUGAACCAUGUUAUCGUGACAGACAACAUUUUAUUUUGUCGGACAUCAAUGUAAGCCAACAUUUAUAUAACUUACAUUUCAAAAUAUAAAAAAAUUAUAUAAUCUCCAUACGACUGCCUUUUUUUCUGCUGGAAUAAUAUCAUGGAGCCAAGAUCAUGGCAAUGACAAAUUCAUACGAGACAGUCAAGCACUUUAACAAUUUGCUACAUGAAAAGCAUGUUUUCAAGAUGCACAAUGUAGAUUUCAAUAUUAGUAUGGGUGAACAUCAGUUUUGACAUAUAAGUGAUCCCAUGGAAUUGUAUCUCACCAGAAAAACUGUUGUGGAGCCGUACAAAGUACCAUUUCAAAUGCUGCCAUUCCCAAAAUAUAUAAUCUUGAACCUUGCAGAUUUUGUCAAACUACCAAACAGGACUUUAGUUGGUAAGAACAUGGAAAUCUUCUAAUAUUUUUAGAUACCUUCUACACAAAAAUUAGUAUUAAUCCAUUUUUCAUCAUGCUUUUGUAGACAUUAUGGCUAUUGUAGUCUACUUAGAUACAAUUCAUUGCACAAUGUGGGGUCCAUUCAGGAAGAUUGUUGUCAUAAAUGCUAGGUAUAUCCCAUUAAUUAUUGAUAACAUGUAAAACAUAAAAUAUUCGAAAUAGUACUAAUUUAUUCAUCUCAACAUCAUAAUCCUAGGUGGUCUCUACAUACCAUUAAAGUUUGGGGUGACUUGCUAAACAAAAAUGCACUCCACUAGGUGUUGGCUAAGGAGAAUUGUACCAUAAUAAUUGGACUAUGUUUCGACGAUUUAGAAGGCAAGGUAAUAAAAAUAUAUGUACCUACAUCUUUCAAACACAUCUGUCAUUAUUUUCUUCUUAAAAUGAUUGGUAAUGGAGAUUUAAAUGUGCAAUUCUAGAGUGCCUCGAGUCAUCUGAUUAUACAACAAUACACUUCAAUCCUUUCCAUCACAACACCCAUCAUUUUGAACAUAAGUAUUUCAAAAAUUACCUGCAUUGAAAUUGUUGUUCACAUUAUAUAGUGGAUUACAUAUAACGGUGGGAUCGAAGAGACAGCAACGAUGAUAAUGUGAGAUUACCUGAUGAGAUAUGCAUUCCUUACACCGGUGAAGAUGAUGAUGUUGAUAGUUUAAUUGAAGAAAUAUUUCCAUCGCUAGAGACGAACAUGCAUAAUUGAGAUUACAUCACAUCUUGAGCCAUCUUAUCAACAAAAAAUGAAAAUGUUGACAAAAUAAAUAUGAGGUUCAUCGAUCGCUUCUCAGGACAAGAGAUGGUUUACCAUAGUUUCGAUAUUGCUGUUGAUGAUCCUAACAACAUCUAUCCUCCUGAGUUCUUAAACUCUCACACCGAGUGGACUGCCUCCGCACAUCCUCAAACUAAAGGUCAACUGUCCAGUGAUUUUUCUCCGAAAUCUUGAUCCUCCCAACGGUUUGUGCAAUGGCACAAAAUUAAUAAUUCAUGAUUUUCAUAGAAAUACAAUUGAUGCCGAUAUUGUUUUAGGACAACAUGCAGGGAAGAGAGUUUUUCUACCACGCAUUCAAUUUUAAGAGGACUCAAUUCCCUCUUAGACUCAGCUUUGCUAUGACGGUGAAUAAAGCACAGGGACAGACAAUACCCCAUGUUGGAGUAUAUCUACUACAUCCAGUCUUCUCCCAUGGACAGUUAUAUGUUGCCUUAUCACGAGCAACAAUGAGAAGCAAUGUAAAGAUUCUUGCGGCUGGAGAAAUGGUUUUGAGCAAAAACUCGAAUGAGACAUAUACAAAGAAUAUAGUGUACAAAGAAGUGCACACUUCUUAGACUUUGUUUUUGUGACAUUUUCACAUUGCAGUAGACAUUUGAUUCGUAUCAGUUUAGUUAUGUAUUAGUUGUUGCCAAAGAAUUUGUGAGAUAUUGAGGUCGAUAAUGUAUGCUUGUGCUCAUUUUUAUGUAAUCGUUGUGCACUAGCAAUUUAUCAAAUGUUUUGUUAGCCG
Molecule: long non-coding RNA, 3809 nt
Organism: Zea mays
Lineage: Eukaryota; Viridiplantae; Streptophyta; Magnoliopsida; Poales; Poaceae
Exons: 3
Source: RefSeq, a predicted model, not a curated record